GACGAACGCUGGCGGCGUGCUUAACACAUGCAAGUCGAACGGAAAGGCCCUGCUUUUGUGGGAUGCUCGAGUGGCGAACGCGUGAGUAACACGUGAGUAACCUGCCCUUGACUUUGGGAUAACUUCAGGAAACUGGGGCUAAUACCGGAUAUGAGCUCCUGCUGCAUGGUGGUUGUUGGAAAGUUUCGGCGGUUGGGGAUGGACUCGCGGCUUAUCAUCUUGUUGGUGGGGUAGUGGCUUACCAAGGCUUUGACGGGUAGCCGGACUGAGAGGGUGACAGGCCACAUUGGGACUGAGAUGCGGCCAAGACUCAUACGGGAGGAAGCAGUGGGGAAUAUUGCACGAUGGGCGGAAGCAUGAUGCAGCAACGCCGCGUGCGGGAUGACGGCCUUCGGGUUGUAACCCGCGUUCGCCUGUGAAGAAGAGUGAGUGACGGUAAUGGGUAAAGAAGCAACGGCUAACUACGUG
RNAcentral lists this ribosomal RNA (468 nucleotides) under uncultured bacterium. RNAcentral describes it as "partial 16S ribosomal RNA". It matches the Rfam family "Bacterial small subunit ribosomal RNA", at positions 28 to 507 of the family's 1533-position model. The record is from RNAcentral.